AACGAACGCUGGCGGCAGGCUUAACACAUGCGUGUCGAGCGCCCCGCAAGGGGAGCGGCAGACGGGUGAGUAACGCGUGGGAACAUACCCUUUCCUGCGGAAUAGCUCCGGGAAACUGGAAUUAAUACCGCAUACGCCCUACGGGGGAAAGAUUUAUGGGGGAAGGAUUGGCCCGCGUUGGAUUAGCUAGUUGGUGGGGUAAAGGCCUACCAAGGCGACGAUCCAUAGCUGGUCUGAGAGGAUGAUCAGCCACUUUGGGACUGAGACACGGCCCAACCUCCUACGGGAGGCAGCAGUGGGGAAUAUUGGAAAAGGGGCGAAAGCUUGAUCCAGCCUUGCCCCGUGAUGGAUGAGGGCCUUAGGGUUGUAAACCUCUUUCACCGGAAAAUAUAAUGCCGGUACCGGGAAAAGAAGCCCCGGCUAACUUCGUGCCAGCCCCCGCCGCGG
This 447-nucleotide ribosomal RNA is filed under the name uncultured bacterium. RNAcentral's name for it is "partial 16S ribosomal RNA". It matches the Rfam family "Bacterial small subunit ribosomal RNA", at positions 29 to 520 of the family's 1533-position model. The record is from RNAcentral.